GGGUUUACUUUUCUCAACAGAGGAGGUUGCGGCAAUAACAGGUCUGUGAUGCCCUCAGAUGUUCCGGGCUGCACACGUGCUACAUUUAGUAGCGCAGUGUGCACAUUAAUAGAGUGAUAGGUUCCGUGGUUUGUACAUUUUAAGGGCUCGUCCUAGUAACCAAAGCUCCACGGGACAUAUCAACCUUCCCCUUACAGGGCGGGUAACCUCUUCGAAGUGCUGGCAUGAUUUCCCUAGUUUUGGCAUUUGAAUCCUUGUCGCAGCAGCCCUGAGACGUAGUGAACGCUGCAAAGUGAUUCCAGUCUUAGGUUUGCGACACAUGCAAUUCCUGGUUGACUCAUCGUGGGGACUGAUUCUUGUAAUUAUUUUUCACGGUUCAACCAGGAAUGCCUUGUACCGGCGGCUCAUUAAACCGCUGGGAAUACGUCCCUGCCCUUUGUACACACCGCCCGCAAAUCUUAC
This 462-nucleotide ribosomal RNA is filed under the name Globigerinoides elongatus. Its description in RNAcentral is "partial small subunit ribosomal RNA". It matches the Rfam family "Eukaryotic small subunit ribosomal RNA", at positions 1417 to 1685 of the family's 1831-position model. Lineage: Eukaryota; Foraminifera; Rotaliida; Globigerinidae. The record is from RNAcentral.